RNAcentral lists this long non-coding RNA (216 nucleotides) under Daucus carota (carrot). RNAcentral's name for it is "long non-coding RNA (DCAR_LNC004970)". The record is from RNAcentral. Lineage: Eukaryota; Viridiplantae; Streptophyta; Magnoliopsida; Apiales; Apiaceae.
ACUACUUUGAUCGCGCUGCAUUCCACCAGAAUGACUUCAUUUAAACUUCCUCAGACAACCUUGGUGAUUGUGUCGCUUUGACAACCGCUACACCGUAACCAUUUGAUAGCAGACACACCACAACAAUUCUCAAAUGACAAUGCCGUGAAAGCGCCCUCGAGCGGGAGAGCAAAUCAAUUAGGAAUUGCUUAAACAUUCGAAACUCCCUCAUAAAAC